CUUUCGAACCAAAGUUAGCGAGUAGAGAGAGAAAGUGAGAAGAAGAGAGAGAAAGAAGAGAGAAGAGGCAGAAGGAUAGAGAGAUGUCACGAAGAUGCAGAGAGAAGGUUAGAGAUAGAGAGGAAGAUAAGCUUGGUUUUUUAGUGCUCUCUUCUUAGUUUGCUGAUGCUCUUCUUGUGGUGGAACCCUAAUUUUUAGAGCCCCACUUGAGAAUUCGCCUCCAUUGUUUCUUUUCUUCUGGUAUUUUGAGUCUUGGAGCUGUUGUUUUUGGGCAAAAUCAGCACAGAGGAGAAGGCAGCAACUAGGCACGCAUUGCCCCAAAGUAGAGUUUUCAGGUUGAGCAAUUGAUUCUUGUAAGCAGAAGGCAGCAACCAUUGAUGGCAACAAUAACCGGAAAGCAUUGGGAGAUAUAGGAAAUCUAGAAGCAAACAAGGCAACAUACUCAAGAUUGAAGACCUAAAUUCUGCUUUCCCUAUCUCUCUCUCACAAAGCUUUUUCAACACACCAAUUCCAAGUUUUUACUCGAAUUCUUUUAUAACAGGGAACCUCUCCCUCAAUCUCCCAGCCAAGUUACAAGAAGCUUCGGAGUGGAACUUCUGGCCAAUGCACAUGCUGUUGUUACAACCAACAAGGUGGCCGACAUCUGGAAUCUUACUAUUCACCUUUUACUAAAGCAAGUCGGUGCAAUUAUGCAAUGGAUUCCAAAUUUCUAUUUUGAAGUCUUGCCCUCCAUCUAUAAUUAGGGAAAGCCUCUUCUUAGAAGGGCAUCGAAAGUUAGCAAAGAGUGUUGGAGUGUUUGUGAGCAUAAAUGUCUUGAGUGUUGCGAGUGUCUGAGUGCUUGUGUAGUAUUAGCAGAGCGUAUGCAUUAGCGUGAUUACUAAGCUUGUCUGGUGGCGUAUCAAGCUCGUUUCUACAACUUGUCCUGUUUAAUGUACUAGAUCUCUUUAACAGCAGCGUGGAUGCAUAAAAUAUGGACAGUGAGUGGUCAAUGGAGAAAGUCCUUCAAGUCAUUAUUAAUUGCCGAUUUUGGCAUGGUGAUGGAAGGAAUGUAGAAUUCUACAAUAAUCUAGUAAGAGUUAGAUUAUGUUGGGAUCCUUUUUUUUUUUCUUUUUGAAGAAAUCCUCCAAUUGCUUGAUCUUUUAAUUGAUAUGGACUUUUUGUCCUUUCCAUCUUUGCUUUUCUCUAUUUGCAAAAACAUUUCAAGUUGGCCUAUCAUCUGUUUGGGUAGCUGGAUUAUUUUUUGUUGAUCUCUGCACCACACAGUUGUGGCCUUCUCUUAUAGAUCAGAUUAAGCUUAAGACUACACAAAAAGAUGAUGAAGAUGGAGGCUUCAGUGUUACUAUUUUCUCACCUCCAAGCCCUUUUGAAGGCUUGGUAGGGACACACCAACUCUUUGCAAUUCAUUCAUGACUAGCUUUCUCACAAGAUCUUCAGGUGGUUCUGUUUAUAUAGCAAACAUCUGCCUUAACAAUUGCACACACCUUGGGUUACAGUUGAAACAACCAUUGUUGAUUUUACAUAAGCUUAUGAUGCAGAACUUCUUUACUUCUUGCUCUUUGUGCCAUGGCUCAGGGUUUUAUUAUGUUGUAGUCUUUGUUUCUUAAUAUAGUGGAAGGCAGUUUGUUA
Non-coding RNA from Amborella trichopoda, 1626 nucleotides. Lineage: Eukaryota; Viridiplantae; Streptophyta; Magnoliopsida; Amborellales; Amborellaceae. The record is from RefSeq and is a predicted model, not a curated record.